RNA transcript from Corvus hawaiiensis (hawaiian crow), 3523 nucleotides. It is a transcript of the gene named CUGBP Elav-like family member 4, with no coding region annotated. The record is from RefSeq and is a predicted model, not a curated record. The transcript has 15 exons. Lineage: Eukaryota; Metazoa; Chordata; Aves; Passeriformes; Corvidae.
GAGAGAGAGGGAGAGAGAGAGGGAGAGAGAGGGAGGGAGAGAGAAAAGAAGAGGGGGAAAAAAAGGAAAGAAGAUUUUCUCUAUGUAUAUAAAGAUGGCCACGUUAGCAAACGGACAACCAGACAAUACCAGCCUGAGUAGCAAUCACAGCAACCCCAGCACCAACGGGCAUAUGAACGGAUUAAACCAUAGUCCCGGAAACCCAUCCACCAUCCCAAUGAAGGACCACGAUGCCAUUAAGCUCUUUAUUGGGCAGAUCCCCCGUAACCUGGACGAGAAAGACCUCAAACCGCUCUUCGAGGAGUUCGGGAAGAUCUAUGAACUGACGGUGCUGAAGGACAGGUUCACUGGCAUGCACAAAGGCUGUGCCUUCCUAACAUACUGCGAAAGGGAGUCUGCUCUAAAGGCCCAGAGCGCACUGCAUGAACAGAAGACACUGCCAGGGAUGAACAGACCGAUCCAGGUGAAGCCAGCGGACAGCGAAAGCCGAGGAGAAGACAGAAAACUCUUUGUGGGCAUGCUCAAUAAGCAGCAAUCGGAAGACGAUGUGCGCAGGCUAUUCGAGGCGUUUGGCAACAUUGAGGAGUGCACAAUCCUUCGGGGACCCGAUGGCAACAGCAAAGGGUGUGCAUUUGUGAAAUACUCUUCACAUGCAGAGGCCCAAGCUGCCAUCAAUGCCUUGCAUGGCAGCCAGACAAUGCCGGGAGCCUCUUCAAGCCUGGUGGUGAAAUUUGCGGACACGGACAAGGAGCGUACAAUGAGGCGCAUGCAACAAAUGGCAGGACAAAUGGGCAUGUUCAACCCCAUGGCCAUCCAGUUUGGAGCUUACGGCGCCUAUGCACAGGCACUGAUGCAGCAGCAAGCGGCGAUCAUGGCGUCGGUGGCGCAGGGUGGAUACCUGAACCCCAUGGCAGCCUUUGCUGCGGCCCAGAUGCAGCAGAUGGCGGCUCUGAACAUGAACGGCCUGGCAGCCGCCCCCAUGACACCAACCUCAGGUGGAAGCACGCCUCCUGGCAUAACUGCACCAGCUGUGCCUAGCAUCCCAUCUCCAAUUGGGGUGAAUGGUUUCACUGGCCUCCCGCCGCAGGCUAAUGGGCAGCCAGCUGCUGAAGCCGUCUUUGCUAAUGGCAUUCACCCUUAUCCAGGUGUAUGGCACCAGAUUUCCUUCCAAGAGGCCCCCACCUUUGCAUCCUCCAAGCCUUGCCUCCAGCCACACCUCUGUGCGGCACAGAGCCCCACUGCAGCAGACCCCUUGCAGCAAGCCUACGCUGGAGUGCAGCAGUACGCAGGUCCUGCUUAUCCUGCUGCUUAUGGCCAGAUUAGCCAAGCGUUCCCACAGCCACCUCCCAUGAUCCCACAGCAACAGAGAGAAGGACCAGAGGGCUGUAACCUGUUUAUCUACCAUCUGCCCCAGGAGUUUGGGGAUGCUGAGCUGAUGCAGAUGUUCCUGCCUUUCGGUAAUGUCAUCUCCUCGAAAGUGUUUGUGGAUCGGGCGACAAACCAAAGUAAAUGCUUUGGUUUUGUGAGUUUUGACAAUCCUGCCAGUGCCCAAGCUGCUAUCCAGGCCAUGAAUGGAUUCCAGAUUGGCAUGAAGAGGCUGAAGGUGCAGCUGAAGAGGCCAAAGGAUGCUAAUCGUCCCUACUGAAGGGUUGUGGGAACCACUGGAUACACAGCACUAGCACAGAGCCAGUCAAAUCCACCACAGUCUCGCGCUGAGCUAGGAAAAAAGUUCUCGUAAUGACAUGAAAGUGGAGAAUACAGUUCCCCAGGCCGGCAGCAGCUGAAUGGGCCACAUUUAGAAAAAAAAAAAGUAUAUAUAUAUUAAAAAAAAAAGUGAACUGUUGGAUUACACCUUUGACAUAUCAGCAAAUAUCAGUCAAGCUGAAGACUUCAGACCUAUUCUCUCUUUGAUUGUUUAGACUGUAACAUUUCUUCAAGAAAAGUAUCACAUCUGCUGACUUCGAAGGACAUGCGCUUGAAAACAAACAAACACAUAAAGUAAAAUCAGAGCAGGAGGAAGAUCAACCGGGAUUUCUGAAGAGACACUGAUAUCACCACAGCGGCUUUUCUUCAAACAGGAGAUGCAAACCUGGAUACUGGCAAAGGAGUGCCUGUUUGCCACCGAGGAUGCAGUUACCAUGCGAGACCCAUGGUAACAGCCACUGAGCAUCUUUAUCUGUCAUUCCUUAGCUAUAUAGGGACCAAAGGACAAAACUUUUUACCGCAGACUUGUAGCUGUAUGUAAAAUAUGGAAGUUCUUUCCUUUUCUCUGAGCUGUUCCUAAAACAGUUUUUGAGAGCGAUUAUAUGAAAUAUGUAAAACCUAAAAAAAAAAAAAAAACUUAAAAAAAACAAAAAAAAACCAAAAAAAAAGCCACAAAAAAAACAAAAAAAAAGCCACAAAAAAAUUACAAAUGCUUAAAUGCUUUUAAAACGGCAAGAUAAUAGUUCUUUGAUACUUUGGGAGGUUCUUUGGUUAUACAUUAAUUAGAGUCUAUGAAGCUUUCAUAUGGUUUUCUGUAUACUACGCAAAGAUUGCGUUGUUAAAGGCAGGUAAGAUGGAUAUCUAUGAAAAGCAAAAAAAAAGUAAAUAAAUAAAUACAUAAUUAAGUACAUAAAAAGGCAUAGAAAAGAGAAAGGAAAGAUGGUUGAUAUUAAAUGGAAAACAAAAAGGUUUGUAAAUGCUUCUAACUCUCCCCAUUUAAAAUCCUAAUAGUUGUACAGAAUUUAAAAAAAGAAAGUUUAAAAUACCUAUAUAAUAGAAAAAAUUAGACAACAUAAAAAUAAAAAAAAACAAAAAAGCAAAAAAAAAAUACUACAUAGAAGUUAGCGUUAAUGCUAAAAACAAAGAUGUUGUAGAACUGUAAUUUUUGUAGAGUUUAGAUUGAGCAUAAAUUCCUACUCUCUGCCAAUUGCUGUUGGAUGCUGUUAUUUAUCGAGGAGAAAAAGGAGAAAAAUGGCUAUUUUGGCAGCUUUUUUAACUGCAAGCAUUCCAGCUAUUAAAAAAUAAACAAGACAAGACUCAAUUCUGUAGACAAUGCAAAUGGGAAAAAAACAGCUGUCUUUUUAUCAGACGUUAGUUCUAACUUGAACAACAAAACACAGCUAAACGCUUCAUGUCUUCAUGAUCUGCUGUCCGCAAAAAUCCCAUCAUCCUAUGCUUCAGUAGCUUCCACAUUUGCUCUAGAAACCUUCAGGGCAAGGGAUUAGCCUAGUACCUUAAUCUUAAAAAAGAAAAAAAAAAAAAAAAAAAAAACUAAAAAAAACUUUAAAAACCUAAAAAAAAAAAACCAUAAAAAGUAAACUAAAGAAACAAUCUCUUUGAAGAAUUUCUGAAACUGUUUACAAGGAAUUUUGAAAAACAGGGGGAUGUUUAAAAAAAAAAGAUGCUGGCUCUGUUUUCUGUAAAUAAAUUUGCAUAUUUUGUAGGACUUUUAAUUGUAAUGAUAGAGAAAAAACAAGGAAAACUAUUUAAUGAAAGCACGAUAUUUAUCUUUGGUAAAUGACUUUAGAGCAGUUAAAAA